Long non-coding RNA from Chenopodium quinoa (quinoa), 1265 nucleotides. RefSeq lists it as uncharacterized. The transcript is spliced from 2 exons. The record is from RefSeq and is a predicted model, not a curated record. Lineage: Eukaryota; Viridiplantae; Streptophyta; Magnoliopsida; Caryophyllales; Amaranthaceae.
UUUUUGGGGUUCAAAUGGAGGAAAUGAAGAAGCACUAAAGCGGGGGUUUGGUUUAUUUGCUUAAUUAUCUUUUUGUUUGGUAUUUUUAGAUUUGCAUUUUCUCUUUUAUGUGAGCUUUCAUUUUCCUUUUUCCUUUUUUCUUUUUCUACUUUCUCUUUUAGUUUAUUUCUUUUCCUUAAUUACCUAAAUUCUACUUCGCAUUAUGUUAGCUUUAGUUACUGAAUUUCUCUUCUUUAUUAAUUUUUUUUAUUGAGUUUAAAUUCUUGACUUUUUUUAAAUAAAAAAAAAUUGGAAAUAUAGCUUGUGAGGGUUUGAUUGAUGAAUUUGCUUUAAAAAAAAUGCUCAUAGGACCAACUAUAAUCAAUCAUUUUGGUGAACUUUAUAAUAUAAAAAUUAUGAAAUACAUUCUCAUAAUUUAGGGGCCUUUUUAAGAUUUCGCUCCGGGCCCCUAAAAUAUCCGAGACGACACUGAUAUUUAUCAUUUUCUUCAACCUCGGUACUAUAUAAAUUCCUUUCGCUUUCAAUUCGUCUCCGAUCCAUAGACAAACCAAUGGAGCUUCAAAAGUACCUUUAAUGGUGUUCAAGCUUCUCUUCUUGAUUUUCUAAGUUGUCUUAUAGAAAGAAUGGACCGUCAAGGAAGAUGAUAUGCCAUUUGGUGGCUUCAGGAACAACUCGCUUCCAAUUUCGAUGAUAUAUCAUUGUUUACCACUAAGAACAGGUUUUUUUUUUCAAAAAAAAAUCACUUCAUUUUAUUACCUCAAUUGUUUUUUCAUACCCUUAAUUUUAAUUUAUUUUUUAUUUUAGAUCUCGCUAAAAUGAAGUAAAAGUUGUAGAUUUAUGGGUCAAGGGAAGGUUGAUUCUCAUUUUGCAAUAUUAUCAGACUAUCUCAAUGCUUUGAUGGGUAAAGGGUUCAUGUAAUUGCUGUUAAUGAUUAUUUAGUGUUGUGAUUGUGAGUUGGUUGGUCAAGUUGCUCGAUUUUUUGGUCUCAAGGUUAUCUAUGAGCUAAUGUUUAACGAAGAUAUAAUAUGAAGAUGACGACGAUGGUAACGGAUGAUGAUGAAGAUAAACACUCCAAUGAAACAAGUGGAUGAUAGUUCAUUUUUAGUGUUAAUUUUCUUUUUAUUUGAUUACAGAUUAAUAGAUUAUAGUACCUAGAUAAAUUAUCUAAUACAUACUAUAAAUUACGAAGUAUCUAUUAUGUAAAUACUUCGUAUGUAUUAUGUACUACAUAUUAAUAGAUUAUAGUACCUUAGAUUUUCAUUUUU